This 459-nucleotide ribosomal RNA is filed under the name uncultured bacterium. RNAcentral's name for it is "partial 16S ribosomal RNA". It matches the Rfam family "Bacterial small subunit ribosomal RNA", at positions 338 to 795 of the family's 1533-position model. The record is from RNAcentral.
CCUACGUGAGUCUGCAGUGAGGAAUAUUGGUCAAUGGUCGGGAGACUGAACCAGCCAAGCCGCGUGAGGGAGGAAGGUACAGAGUAUCGUAAACCUCUUUUGUCAGGGAACAAAGGCGGGGACGUGUCCCCGGAUGAGUGUACCUGAAGAAAAAGCAUCGGCUAACUCCGUGCAAGCAGCCGCGGUAAUACGGAGGAUGCGAGCGUUAUCCGUUUUUAUUGGGUUUAAAGGGUGCGCAGGCGGUCUGUUGAGUCAGCGUUAAAAUCCCGGGGCCAAACCCCGGCCCGCCGUUGAAACUGGCAGUCUCGAGUUGGCGAGAAGUAUGCGGAAUGCGCGGUGGAGCGGUGAAAUGCAUAGAUAUCGCGCAGAACUCCGAUUGCGAAGGCAGCAUGCCGGCUCCACACUGACGCUGAGGCACGAAAGCGUGGGUAUCGAACAGGAUUAGAUACCCGGGUAGUC